GGGUUGUGAGGUUAAGCGACUAAGCGUACACGGUGGAUGCCCUGGCAGUCAGAGGCGAUGAAGGACGUGCUAAUCUGCGAUAAGCGUCGGUAAGGUGAUAUGAACCGUUAUAACCGGCGAUUUCCGAAUGGGGAAACCCAGUGUGUUUCGACACACUAUCAUUAACUGAAUCCAUAGGUUAAUGAGGCGAACCGGGGGAACUGAAACAUCUAAGUACCCCGAGGAAAAGAAAUCAACCGAGAUUCCCCCAGUAGCGGCGAGCGAACGGGGAGCAGCCCAGAGCCUGAAUCAGUGUGUGUGUUAGUGGAAGCGUCUGGAAAGGCGCGCGAUACAGGGUGACAGCCCCGUACACAAAAAUGCACAUGCUGUGAGCUCGAUGAGUAGGGCGGGACACGUGGUAUCCUGUCUGAAUAUGGGGGGACCAUCCUCCAAGGCUAAAUACUCCUGACUGACCGAUAGUGAACCAGUACCGUGAGGGAAAGGCGAAAAGAACCCCGGCGAGGGGAGUGAAAAAGAACCUGAAACCGUGUACGUACAAGCAGUGGGAGCACGCUUAGGCGUGUGACUGCGUACCUUUUGUAUAAUGGGUCAGCGACUUAUAUUCUGUAGCAAGGUUAACCGAAUAGGGGAGCCGAAGGGAAACCGAGUCUUAACUGGGCGUUAAGUUGCAGGGUAUAGACCCGAAACCCGGUGAUCUAGCCAUGGGCAGGUUGAAGGUUGGGUAACACUAACUGGAGGACCGAACCGACUAAUGUUGAAAAAUUAGCGGAUGACUUGUGGCUGGGGGUGAAAGGCCAAUCAAACCGGGAGAUAGCUGGUUCUCCCCGAAAGCUAUUUAGGUAGCGCCUCGUGAAUUCAUCUCCGGGGGUAGAGCACUGUUUCGGCAAGGGGGUCAUCCCGACUUACCAACCCGAUGCAAACUGCGAAUACCGGAGAAUGUUAUCACGGGAGACACACGGCGGGUGCUAACGUCCGUCGUGAAGAGGGAAACAACCCAGACCGCCAGCUAAGGUCCCAAAGUCAUGGUUAAGUGGGAAACGAUGUGGGAAGGCCCAGACAGCCAGGAUGUUGGCUUAGAAGCAGCCAUCAUUUAAAGAAAGCGUAAUAGCUCACUGGUCGAGUCGGCCUGCGCGGAAGAUGUAACGGGGCUAAACCAUGCACCGAAGCUGCGGCAGCGACGCUGAUGCGUUGUUGGGUAGGGGAGCGUUCUGUAAGCCUGCGAAGGUGUGCUGUGAGGCAUGCUGGAGGUAUCAGAAGUGCGAAUGCUGACAUAAGUAACGAUAAAGCGGGUGAAAAGCCCGCUCGCCGGAAGACCAAGGGUUCCUGUCCAACGUUAAUCGGGGCAGGGUGAGUCGACCCCUAAGGCGAGGCCGAAAGGCGUAGUCGAUGGGAAACAGGUUAAUAUUCCUGUACUUGGUGUUACUGCGAAGGGGGGACGGAGAAGGCUAUGUUGGCCGGGCGACGGUUGUCCCGGUUUAAGCGUGUAGGCUGGUUUUCCAGGCAAAUCCGGAAAAUCAAGGCUGAGGCGUGAUGACGAGGCACUACGGUGCUGAAGCAACAAAUGCCCUGCUUCCAGGAAAAGCCUCUAAGCAUCAGGUAACAUCAAAUCGUACCCCAAACCGACACAGGUGGUCAGGUAGAGAAUACCAAGGCGCUUGAGAGAACUCGGGUGAAGGAACUAGGCAAAAUGGUGCCGUAACUUCGGGAGAAGGCACGCUGAUAUGUAGGUGAAGUCCCUUGCGGAUGGAGCUGAAAUCAGUCGAAGAUACCAGCUGGCUGCAACUGUUUAUUAAAAACACAGCACUGUGCAAACACGAAAGUGGACGUAUACGGUGUGACGCCUGCCCGGUGCCGGAAGGUUAAUUGAUGGGGUUAGCGCAAGCGAAGCUCUUGAUCGAAGCCCCGGUAAACGGCGGCCGUAACUAUAACGGUCCUAAGGUAGCGAAAUUCCUUGUCGGGUAAGUUCCGACCUGCACGAAUGGCGUAAUGAUGGCCAGGCUGUCUCCACCCGAGACUCAGUGAAAUUGAACUCGCUGUGAAGAUGCAGUGUACCCGCGGCAAGACGGAAAGACCCCGUGAACCUUUACUAUAGCUUGACACUGAACAUUGAGCCUUGAUGUGUAGGAUAGGUGGGAGGCUUAGAAGUGUGGACGCCAGUCUGCAUGGAGCCGACCUUGAAAUACCACCCUUUAAUGUUUGAUGUUCUAACGUUGACCCGUAAUCCGGGUUGCGGACAGUGUCUGGUGGGUAGUUUGACUGGGGCGGUCUCCUCCUAAAGAGUAACGGAGGAGCACGAAGGUUGGCUAAUCCUGGUCGGACAUCAGGAGGUUAGUGCAAUGGCAUAAGCCAGCUUGACUGCGAGCGUGACGGCGCGAGCAGGUGCGAAAGCAGGUCAUAGUGAUCCGGUGGUUCUGAAUGGAAGGGCCAUCGCUCAACGGAUAAAAGGUACUCCGGGGAUAACAGGCUGAUACCGCCCAAGAGUUCAUAUCGACGGCGGUGUUUGGCACCUCGAUGUCGGCUCAUCACAUCCUGGGGCUGAAGUAGGUCCCAAGGGUAUGGCUGUUCGCCAUUUAAAGUGGUACGCGAGCUGGGUUUAGAACGUCGUGAGACAGUUCGGUCCCUAUCUGCCGUGGGCGCUGGAGAACUGAGGGGGGCUGCUCCUAGUACGAGAGGACCGGAGUGGACGCAUCACUGGUGUUCGGGUUGUCAUGCCAAUGGCACUGCCCGGUAGCUAAAUGCGGAAGAGAUAAGUGCUGAAAGCAUCUAAGCACGAAACUUGCCCCGAGAUGAGUUCUCCCUGACUCCUUGAGAGUCCUGAAGGAACGUUGAAGACGACGACGUUGAUAGGCCGGGUGUGUAAGCGCAGCGAUGCGUUGAGCUAACCGGUACUAAUGAACCGUGAGGCUUAACCUUACAACGCCGAAGCUGUU
RNAcentral lists this ribosomal RNA (2930 nucleotides) under Escherichia coli. RNAcentral describes it as "23S ribosomal RNA". It matches the Rfam family "Bacterial large subunit ribosomal RNA". The record is from RNAcentral. Lineage: Bacteria; Pseudomonadati; Pseudomonadota; Gammaproteobacteria; Enterobacterales; Enterobacteriaceae.